UGUGGCAGUUGGAGUCAGGCAGGGGAAGCCACAGGUUGGCUGGCCAAGCCAUGGCAGCAACCAGGAACUCUGCAGGGGCCUGAAGUCUCUACCAUGGUUUUGGAGGAACGACGUGACGCUUUCCAGAUUCAGACACAGAGGCACAAUCAAUUACAAGGGAGUUGGGUGCCGGAUGCUUCAAAAGAUGCUGGGAAGCCUCUAAACGUGGCCUGUGAAGGCGUGCUCGCUGUGGAGUCCAAAAGCGACAAGAGCGACUGAGUCGUAGAUGGAUGCAGGCCUAUUUCGUUGUCUUGAGGAUCCCCUUCGAUAUCGAAGGUUGGAGGUGGGGAUCGAUAUCGAGGAGUGACAUGACUGGACGUCGUAAGCAGCGGCGUGUGUAGCGACAGAGCAGAGCUGGGUCCCGGAGCCGUCGGCGUUGAAGGCGGGGAGGAUGGAACCGGUGUCGGAGCAGGCGAGAGGGAUCUUGCUAAAUUCUCCAAAUCUAACCACCUUCACAGGCUUUAUUUAAUUGCAUUUUUCUCUCAUCAUUUCCUUUGAAAGGCUCAGAAUGAUGCCAACAUGGUGAAUGCAUGCACAGGAAAAACAUAAAAUGAUGUUUCCACCACUGUGUCAUGUACAAGUAGACUGGUGCUCUCUCUUUCUCUUCUCUGAAAGUCCAAAGCCCAUGGGAAAACAAAAAAAAAAGCUUCACUUUGAUCACCACAAUCUUCUGCACUGAAGCACAACAGCUGCAUUCAAAAAGCACCACCACCUUUCCUGUGGGAGACAGGAAGCCAAAACAAAAGCAUGCUUGACAUUUCUAUUUAGGCGCAGGGUGCAGCAAUUUUAAUCGAGCCACAGCUGAAAGCAAGAACUGAGCAGAGCUCACAUCAAAUGCUGCAGGCUGUUCAAUGAGCCUGGCUGUCGGGAUCCAUUUUCCAUCUCCAGUGUGGCAGGGCAGUUUGGCCACAGAGCUUCCUAAAACACCUGUCAAGCGCCACUGAAGAGGAACAAGUGGUUAGUGACUCACCCACACCGCCCCCAGCCUCACACAUCAAGGCCAGUCCCUGGAGAGGUCUCCUGGUGCAGAGAGGCUCAUUGAGAGGCUUGCUCAGCUCCAGAGCACUGAAGAGGCUGCAACUCAAGUGACACCCUGUUCCAAGUAUUUGACAUCAGACAAACAAUAUAUUGUCAAACA
Long non-coding RNA from Hemicordylus capensis (graceful crag lizard), 1177 nucleotides. RefSeq lists it as uncharacterized. The transcript has 3 exons. NCBI's taxonomy places the organism in Eukaryota, Metazoa, Chordata, Lepidosauria, Squamata, Cordylidae. The record is from RefSeq and is a predicted model, not a curated record.